RNAcentral lists this long non-coding RNA (415 nucleotides) under Ananas comosus (pineapple). Its description in RNAcentral is "long non-coding RNA (ACOM_LNC024815)". Lineage: Eukaryota; Viridiplantae; Streptophyta; Magnoliopsida; Poales; Bromeliaceae. The record is from RNAcentral.
UAAUUUUAUACAGGUCCCCGCAAAUAUUAAUAAUUGCAAAUAUAUUCCUACACAGUUCAACUUUCAUAUAUUGUCUCUACAAAAGUCUUAAUAUUUUCAAAUAUAUCCAUCUGGUUUGUUACCGUUAAAGCACCGUUUAUUUUGUAAGUGAAAUGACCUUUUUGCGAUCACAAACAUGUCCCUCUAAAAGUUCCAACUGUUAAUUGAAAAGGGGUAAGAAGAUUAAUUCACCUCAUUAACUAACUAGGCCUAAAUAUUUUAAUUAUGGUUAAUUAUUUUUUUUCUAAUGGGUUCUAACGGCAGGGGUAUAUUUGAAAACAUCAAGAUUUUUGUAGGAGUAAUAUAUAAAAAUUGAACUAUAUAAGGAUAUAUUUGCAAUUCACUAUGUUUGUAGAGACAUGUAUGAAAUUAAUCC